RNAcentral lists this ribosomal RNA (607 nucleotides) under uncultured bacterium. RNAcentral describes it as "bacterial SSU rRNA". It matches the Rfam family "Bacterial small subunit ribosomal RNA", at positions 8 to 618 of the family's 1533-position model. The record is from RNAcentral.
AGAGUUUGAUUCUGGCUCAGGAUGAACGCUAGCGGGAGGCCUAAUACAUGCAAGUCGAGCGGUAGAGUCCUUCGGGACUUGAGAGCGGCGCACGGGUGAGUAACGCGUACAUGACCUGCCUUUAAGACCGGGAUAGCCCUGGGAAACUGGGAUUAAUACCGGAUGUGAUAAUAUGUAUAGAGAUAUAUUAUUAAAGUUGAGGCGCUUAGAGAUGGGUGUGCGUUUGAUUAGCUAGUUGGUAGGGUAACGGCCUACCAAGGCGACGAUCAAUAGGGGGCGUGAGAGCGUGACCCCCCACACGGGUACUGAGACACGGACCCGACUCCUACGGGAGGCAGCAGUAAGGAAUAUUGGUCAAUGGACGGAAGUCUGAACCAGCCAUCCCGCGUGCAGGAUGAAGGUCCUAUGGAUUGUAAACUGCUUUUAGCAGAGACGAAACGCCGACAUUUAUGUUGGUCUGACGGUAUCUGCGGAAUAAGCACCGGCUAACUCCGUGCCAGCAGCCGCGGUAAUACGGAGGGUGCAAGCGUUAUCCGGAAUCACUGGGUUUAAAGGGUGCGUAGGCGGAUGAUUAAGUCAGUGGUGAAAGCUGGUCGCUUAACGAUCA